This 495-nucleotide ribosomal RNA is filed under the name uncultured bacterium. RNAcentral's name for it is "partial 16S ribosomal RNA". It matches the Rfam family "Bacterial small subunit ribosomal RNA", at positions 29 to 507 of the family's 1533-position model. The record is from RNAcentral.
AUGAACGCUGGCGGCGUGCCUAAUACAUGCACGUCGAGCGAACAGACGAGGAGCUUGCUCCUCUGAUGUUAGCGGCGGACGGGUGAGUAACACGUGGAUAACCUACCUAUAAGACUGGGAUAACUUCGGGAAACCGGAGCUAAUACCGGAUAACAUGUUGAACCGCAUGGUUCAACAGUGAAAGACGGUCUUGCUGUCACUUAUAGAUGGAUCCGCGCCGCAUUAGCUAGUUGGUAAGGUAACGGCUUACCAAGGCAACGAUGCGUAGCCGACCUGAGAGGGUGAUCGGCCACACUGGAACUGAGACACGGUCCAGACUCCUACGGGAGGCAGCAGUAGGGAAUCUUCCGCAAUGGGCGAAAGCCUGACGGAGCAACGCCGCGUGAGUGAAGAAGGUCUUCGGAUCGUAAAACUCUGUUAUUAGGGAAGAACAAAUGUGUAAGUAACUAUGCACGUCUUGACGGUACCUAUCAGAAAGCCACGGCUAACUACGUG